GAUGAACGCUGGCGGCGUGCCUAAUACAUGCAAGUCGAGCGAACGGACGAGAAGCUUGCUUCUCUGAUGUUAGCGGCGGACGGGAGAGUAACACGUGGAUAACCUACCUAUAAGACUGGGAUAACUUCGGGAAACCGGAGCUAAUACCGGAUAAUAUUUUGAACCGCAUGGUUCAAAAGUGAAAGACGGUCUUGCUGUCACUUAUAGAUGGAUCCGCGCUGCAUUAGCUAGUUGGUAAGGUAACGGCUUACCAAGGCAACGAUGCAUAGCCGACCUGAGAGGGCGAUCGGCCACACUGGAACUGAGACACGGUCCAGACUCCUACGGGAGGCAGCAGUAGGGAAUCUUCCGCAAUGGGCGAAAGCCUGACGGAGCAACGCCGCGUGAGUGAUGAAGGUCUUCGGAUCGUAAAACUCUGUUAUUAGGGAAGAACAUAUGUGUAAGUAACUGUGCACAUCUUGACGGUACCUAAUCAGAAAGCCACGGCUAACUACGUG
Molecule: ribosomal RNA, 497 nt
Filed under: uncultured bacterium
Lineage: Bacteria
Description: partial 16S ribosomal RNA
Rfam family: Bacterial small subunit ribosomal RNA
Source: RNAcentral